Molecule: non-coding RNA, 93 nt
Organism: Acanthosepion pharaonis
Lineage: Eukaryota; Metazoa; Mollusca; Cephalopoda; Sepiida; Sepiidae
Source: the annotation of a GenBank genome assembly
CACAUGGAAACACCAGUUCUCAUAUGAUCACUGAAGUUAAGCCUUGUCAGUAUCUCAAUGGGUGACCACUUGGGAAUAUCAGGUGCUGCAAGC